This 497-nucleotide ribosomal RNA is filed under the name uncultured bacterium. Its description in RNAcentral is "partial 16S ribosomal RNA". It matches the Rfam family "Bacterial small subunit ribosomal RNA", at positions 28 to 523 of the family's 1533-position model. The record is from RNAcentral.
GAUGAACGCUGGCGGCGUGCUUAACACAUGCAAGUCGAACGGAGUUUACUUAACAGAUUUCUUCGGAAUGAUGUUUUUUAAACUUAGUGGCGGACGGGUGAGUAACGCGUGGGUAACCUGCCUUACACAGGGGGAUAGCAGUUGGAAACGACUGGUAAUACCGCAUACCUUACAUUAUUCGCAUGUUUGAUGUAAGAAAGAUUUUAUCGGUGUAAGAUGGACCCGCGUCUGAUUAGCUAGUUGGUGUGGUAACGGCAUACCAAGGCGACGAUCAGUAGCAGGACUGAGAGGGGGAUCGGCCAGAUUGGGGCUGAGAUACGGCCCAGAGUCCUAGGGGAGGCAGCAGUGGAGAAUAUUGCACAAUGGAGGCAACUCUGAUGCAGCGACGCCGCGUGAGUGAAGAAGUAUUUCGGUAUGUAAAGCUCUAUCAGUAGGGAAGAUAAUGACGGUACCUACAGAAGAAGCCCCGGCUAAAUACGUGCCAGCAGCCGCCGCGG